UUCCUGGUGGCUCAGAUGGUACAGAAUCUGUCUGCAAUGCAGGAGACCUGGGUUUGAUCCCUGGCUUGGGAA
RNAcentral lists this transfer RNA (72 nucleotides) under Bos taurus (domestic cattle). It matches the Rfam family "tRNA". Rfam says of the family: Transfer RNA (tRNA) molecules are approximately 80 nucleotides in length. The record is from Rfam by way of RNAcentral. Lineage: Eukaryota; Metazoa; Chordata; Mammalia; Artiodactyla; Bovidae. RNAcentral also lists the same sequence under 5 other names.